Molecule: ribosomal RNA, 301 nt
Filed under: uncultured bacterium
Lineage: Bacteria
Description: partial 16S ribosomal RNA
Rfam family: Bacterial small subunit ribosomal RNA
Source: RNAcentral
CAGCAGCCGCGGGAAUACGUAGGGUGCAAGCGUUAAUCGGAAUUACUGGGCGUAAAGGGUGCGUAGGCGGUUGUUUAAGUCUGUUGUGAAAUCCCCGGGCUCAACCUGGGAAUGGCAAUGGAAACUGGACGGCUAGAGUGUGUCAGAGGAUGGUGGAAUUCCCGGUGUAGCGGUGAAAUGCGUAGAGAUCGGGAGGAACAUCAGUGGCGAAGGCGGCCAUCUGGGACAACACUGACGCUGAAGCACGAAAGCGUGGGGAGCAAACAGGAUUAGAUACCCCCGUAGUCCCUGUCUCUUAUAC